UACGGGGGGGGCAAGCGUUGUUCGGAAUUACUGGGCGUAAAGAGCGCGCAGGCGGCUGGUCAAGUCCGAUGUGAAAUCUCCCGGCUUAACUGGGAAACUGCAUCGGAAACUGAUCGGCUUGAAGGUGGGAGAGGGUAGUGGAAUUCCCGGUGUAGUGGUGAAAUGCGUAGAUAUCGGGAGGAACACCAGUGGCGAAGGCGACUACCUGGCCCAUUCUUGACGCUGAGGCGCGAAAGCUAGGGGAGCGAACGGG
This 253-nucleotide ribosomal RNA is filed under the name uncultured bacterium. Its description in RNAcentral is "partial 16S ribosomal RNA". It matches the Rfam family "Bacterial small subunit ribosomal RNA", at positions 524 to 776 of the family's 1533-position model. The record is from RNAcentral.